Bemisia tabaci is the source of this 1302-nucleotide non-coding RNA. The record is from RefSeq and is a predicted model, not a curated record. Lineage: Eukaryota; Metazoa; Arthropoda; Insecta; Hemiptera; Aleyrodidae.
UGAUGGUAAAAAACUAAAGUGAUUAUUUAAAAAAUUAAGUCAAUGCGUCUAAUGAACAACUAUUUUCAGGCCAAUGAAACUACCAGCAACUAAGCAUUUCAGUACCCAAACAUGAGUGACCAUAAACAGGAAAAGGGACCUUCAUUCACCAAAAGUUCCUUCAAUUUAAUUUCAUACUCGGCAGAUUUUUGAGAGAUAUCUUUGAGCUGUGGAAAAGCAAAUAAGUGUAACAUACAGGUAUAGAUAUCAACACAAUUCAAAUAUUUAUACUGAUGCUUCAUAAACCGGACCAGCUAAAACCAAUUAUAAUCAUUGAAUGCAGAUCUUAUCAAUGGCUAAGGUCCGAAAACGCAUUUAUCAGAUUCAGAAAUUGACCUACAAAAACAGAUGGAAUCAAAAACAAUGAAUAAAAUACAAUUACCAAAACUAAAAAAGGGAAACUUCAACAAGAAAAUAAGGAACCACGUGGACAAAAGGCUAGAUUGCACUAUACUAAGAUAUCUGCAUUUCUUCUGGAGGCGUCAAAAGAAUACCUGCACAUAUUGUACUUGCAUGCUACAGACCUGAAUGAAAACAACAUUAAAUGUUCCGUGAACGAUUUAUAAAAUUUAGAGAGAAAAUGUUAAACCCGAUGAUAAAUUACAUAUGUAUUUAACUCAUUAGUAAGACUAUACAUCCCAAAAUCUCACUAGUUUUUUCCAGCCAUCUGGCAAGAAAAAAUCAAAAUUUUUAGGAUUGAAAUAACUCUGUUAUGAAGAGGAUAAUUAAUUAACCAAACUGAAGGAAGGUGUUCCACAGAUCGCAGAAAGAUUUUUCCUUCCUUAAAGUUUUUGGCAAAAAUACCUCCUCCUGAGACUAUGACUCCCUCUCCCCCAUUGAUAUUGAUGACCAGAGUGUGAUAUCAUGUAUCUCUGUUCAAGACAUUGCAGAUUUUCUAAAAUUAUUUAUUCAUUCUUUGAAAAACUAGCUGAAGUAAUUUCCUAAAAACUUCUUUGAUUUUUCUUCUCUGCUAGCAAGAUGUUCUGCAUUAAUUUCAAGCGAUACAGUAUGCAUGUUUCUCUUUAAAAAAUCAAAUGGGAGCAAAAAUUUUGAAACAUUGCGAUAGAGAUAAGUGAUAUUGCACUUCGGCCAUCAAUGUGUGAUUCUAUUAAUAUGAUUGAUAAUUUUAACUACAUAGCUCUUUGGCAUAGUGCUGAUAAUAUAGCCCUCCACAGUAAAUAGAGCAGAUCUCAAACAGCUGUUUUCAAAGAAUUUUCUGCCUUUUUAUAUAGGAAGAAGUAUUCCAAACAAUGAAUUGCAAAU